This 468-nucleotide ribosomal RNA is filed under the name uncultured bacterium. RNAcentral describes it as "partial 16S ribosomal RNA". It matches the Rfam family "Bacterial small subunit ribosomal RNA", at positions 28 to 507 of the family's 1533-position model. The record is from RNAcentral.
GACGAACGCUGGCGGCGUGCUUAACACAUGCAAGUCGAACGGAAAGGCCCUGCUUUUGUGGGGUGCUCGAGUGGCGAACGGGUGAGUAACACGUGAGUAACCUGCCCUUGACUUUGGGAUAACUUCAGGAAACUGGGGCUAAUACCGGAUAGGAGCUCCUGCUGCAUGGUGGGGGUUGGAAAGUUUCGGCGGUUGGGGAUGGACUCGCGGCUUAUCAGCUUGUUGGUGGGGUAGUGGCUUACCAAGGCUUUGGCGGGUAGCCGGCCUGGGAGGGUGACCGGCCACCGUGGGACUGAGGUACGGCCCAGACUCCUACGGGAGGCAGCAGUGGGGAAUAUUGCACAAUGGGCGGAAGCCUGAUGCAGCAACGCCGCGUGCGGGAUGACGGCCUUCGGGUUGUAAACCGCUUUCGCCUGUGACGAAGCGUGAGUGACGGUAAUGGGUAAAGAAGCACCGGCUAACUACGUG